Long non-coding RNA from Prosopis cineraria, 496 nucleotides. RefSeq lists it as uncharacterized. NCBI's taxonomy places the organism in Eukaryota, Viridiplantae, Streptophyta, Magnoliopsida, Fabales, Fabaceae. The transcript is spliced from 3 exons. The record is from RefSeq and is a predicted model, not a curated record.
UGUUUCUAAGUCCCACAUUGGUUAGAUGAGGGAAGAGAAGAGGUGCCUUCAUGUAUAAAAAGGAGGGGGUGUGUGCAUUAGGAAGCAUGAGAGGCUAAGAUGCAAUUUAGAGAAAAUUGCAACUUUUGGCCCAAAGGUUUGAAUAAUUAAAUUCAAACCUAUAGUUUUUUUUAAUAUAAUUUUGGGACUCACAAUCCCAUUUUUAUAUUAUUUUUCUCUCUUCCUCUCACGUUGCUCGGCGUUUUCUCGCAAGGGGGGAUUAUUUUCUUUUUCUUCAGAUUAUAUUGACAAAGAUAGUGGUGAAAAAGGAGUUGUGAAGGGGAACUUGUUAUUCAAGACACAAGGAGCGAGUCCGGCCGAGAAAGCACCAGAGGUGUAACUAUGGUGUAUGAGACACCAUCUUUUACGUUGCCUCUUAUUUUAGAUUAUACAAUGUAUCUUGUGCCAACUUAGGACAUAUCUUCUUUGUGAAGCAUGUAAACUCUAAUCCUUUUUA